GUUUCAGGAAGUGGAAGAGAAGCAGGUGUCUGAGUGCUUGAGAGAGAAUAUCGUUUUUUUUGGAGGUCUAGUUGACUUAUAAGUUUGAAAGUUUGUGAGUGACUGUACUGAAGUCUCUGUGAAACGUUUUUGCUAUUGUCCCCAAUCAGCGUGAGCUGUUUGGGGGAUAUUGCUUAAAAUAACCGGACGGACAACAUGGCUUCGACAUCAAGAAUACAAACGACGACGAGAAAGGACAACAGUGAAAUCAGAAUGUUAAACGAAGAACUGAAAAAAAGAACAUAUGAGAAGGAACUGACGGUGAACGUGGAAAUAAGUGGAGAAGGGAAAAUAACAACGAUGGAAUUGCUGAGAGGAAUAAAGGAAGUUUGCGGAACAAUACUGGGAUGUCGAAUGAAAGACGGGAAUAAGUAUGAAGUAACAAUGUCUCAUGUAAAUGGAAAAGAAAGACUAAUAGACGGGCUAAAGAUAAAGAACUGUCAAAUCAUGGCUAAAGAACUAGGGAACGAUGAGCUGGUGGUGUCCUUUUUGAACUUGCCCUCAUACAUUACGGAUGAGGAGAUAGAAGAGAAACUAAAAGGCUGGAAGGUGAAGGCGACCACGCCAAUCAAGAGGAGGAUGUGGCCAGGAACGGACAUUGUAGAUGGGACAAGAUUUUGCAAGAACGGGGAUGUAGCUCAGUGGUAGAGUGGUCCCAGGGCGCACGACCCACGUGGAGUUCCAGGUCUCCGGCAUCCUCUGGAACUGCCGGUCUCCGGCCAACAAGGCUGAGUUCAUCUCAGCCUAUGCUACCCUCCAGUCCCUAGACUUCCUGGCCCUGAUGGAAACAUGGAUUACCACAGAUAACACUGCUACUCCUACUGCUCUCUCCUCGUCUGCCCACGUGUUCUCGCAUACCCCUAGAGCAUCGAGCCAGCGGGGUGGUGGCACUGGAAUCCUCAUCUCUCCCAAGUGGACAUUCUCUCUUUCUCCCCUGACCCAUCUGUCUAUCUCCUCAUUUGAAUUCCAUGCUGUCACAGUUACCAGCCCUUUCAAGCUUAACAUCCUUAUCAUUUAUCGCCCUCCAGGUUCCCUUGGAGAGUUCAUCAAUGAGCUUGACGCCUUGAUAAGUUCCUUUCCUGAGGAUGGCUCACCUCUCACAGUUCUGGGUGACUUUAACCUCCCCACGUCUACCUUUGACUCAUUCCUCUCUGCCUCCUUCUUUCCACUCCUCUCCUCUUUUGACCUCACCGUCUCACCUUCCCCCCCUACUCACAAGGCAGGCAAUACGCUUGACCUCAUCUUUACUAGAUGCUGUUCUUCCACUAAUCUCAUUGCAACUCCCCUCCAAAUCUCCGACCACGACCUUGUAUCCUUUUCCCUCUCGCUCUCAUCCAACACUUCUCACUCUGCCCCUACUCGGAUGGUAUUGCGUCGUCCCAACCUUCGCUCUCUCUCUCCCGCUACGCUCUCCUCUUCCAUCCUAUCAUCUCUUCCCUCUGCUCAAACCUUCUCCAACCUAUCUCCUGAUUCUGCCUCCUCAACCCUCC
This 1529-nucleotide long non-coding RNA is filed under the name Salmo salar (Atlantic salmon). Its description in RNAcentral is "lncRNA (ENSSSAG00000075103.2)". The record is from RNAcentral. Lineage: Eukaryota; Metazoa; Chordata; Actinopteri; Salmoniformes; Salmonidae.